UACGGAGGAUGCAAGCGUUAUCCGGAAUGAUUGGGCGUAAAGGGUCCGCAGGUGGCAAUGUAAGUCUGCUGUCAAAGAAUGAGGCUUAACCUCAUCAAGGCAGUGGAAACUACAUAGCUAGAGUACGGUCGGGGUAGAAGGAAUUCCUGGUGUAGCGGUGGAAUGCGCAGAUAUCAGGAGGAACACCAACGGCGAAGGCAGCUCGCUGGGACGGUACUGACGCUGAGGCGCGAAAGCGUGGGGAGCGAACAGG
This 253-nucleotide ribosomal RNA is filed under the name uncultured bacterium. Its description in RNAcentral is "partial 16S ribosomal RNA". It matches the Rfam family "Bacterial small subunit ribosomal RNA", at positions 524 to 776 of the family's 1533-position model. The record is from RNAcentral.